CGUAGUGAAAAAUAGUAGCAUCUAGCUGAAUAUGCACCGCUCGCUGACAUGCCUAUAACCGUUGGGAAAUGAACUUAUUACCUCUGUUUAAUUUAAUGGCAUAUUAAACCUGGUGCAGAUUGUUGACCGUGAUGUUUUGUUAUCAACAGUACGAUGGUGGCCAAAUGGGGUUUGACACAAGGGGCAAGGCUGGAUGGCCCUUCCAGGGCCUCCGGUUUGGCGGUGGCAUGCGACUAUCAUAUAAGAAGUGGUUACCAUAUCCUUUUGAAAGAUGCAGCGGGCAAAAAAUAACUUGUUGCUAAAUGGCUAGCAAGACCGUUCGGACCGAAUAAAUCUCAAGAAACUGUAAAGGAUGAUUCAGGUAUAGAGAGCGGCAUAACUAAUGUUUGUAUGGUUCUUUUGAGCUUUCCUUUUCAACGUGCAUGCAUUACGAGCUGUCAGCAGCCUAGCUAGGUGGAGGCGUGAAUCGAGCUAAGGCUGGUGGUGCGGAAGCGAGCGUGAGUCGCAAGUGCAGGUGGGGGGAGUGGAGGUGAUGCUGCGAGUGCUGAGUGAAGGCUGGCAGCGUGGAAGCGAGUGUGGGUCACGGGCGGAGCUAACGAAGUGCCGUUAAGACCACAAGCAUGGCUUCAGAGACAGUUCUCAUUGAGCGACGAUAAGCACAACUGAUGUAAAGAUGCCAAGGAUAAAUGGUUAUUGGGGAAGUUGCAUGUUGCUUUGCUAUAAUCCAUCAUAUUGAGGAUGUGAAUCAGAUCAGUUCAGCAAAUCCUGGAGGUGGACAUCCCCAAAUUGUUGAAGCGGCAUAUGCUUGGGGAUUGAACAUACUUAUGUGACAGCGCCACUUGACUUAUCUUAUGUGCCGUGUAACAUUGUGCCAGUUGGGUUUAUCUGCUGGUUUUGGGCCUCAAUUUAAGAAACAAGACAGUGAAGAUGUAUACCAUGACGAUAAUGAGCCAUAGUGGUGAGGAUGUUAUUUCCACUCAGUUAAAUGGUUCAGCAAGUGUGAAAUCUGCUGCUUUGAUGAAAGAAAGAGAGGGUACUGUAAUCGUCUCAAGUCUAAGCACCGCCUGACACUUGGAACAACUUUAUGUCUACAGAUCAUUAGAUCUCGUACAAGAUCGGAGAUGGAAUUGGUAUCGGCAGUUUUCUACUUCUCUAUCACCCCAUGAGCCUAGGUCUGGAAGAAUAUCUUCAGAAUCUAGAGGUGGAUACUGGAGGCUCAUUGGAUCGGCUGAGGUGGUUAUUUUCUUUAUUCUUUAUAUUCUCUGAUCACGCAUAAAUGCAGUCUAACUUCUGGAUUUUGUCAUUUUAGUGUGUUAAUCGAUCACGUAAUGACCUGUGCAAUUUAGUUCACGGUGCCAUGUUAAGUAUGGUCGAGUCAAUUAAAUAUAGGACACAUAUGAAAAAGAAACAAGUCUGCAUGGUAAAACAUAACCUUAGUACUUUA
Lolium perenne is the source of this 1444-nucleotide non-coding RNA. NCBI's taxonomy places the organism in Eukaryota, Viridiplantae, Streptophyta, Magnoliopsida, Poales, Poaceae. The record is from RefSeq and is a predicted model, not a curated record.